Molecule: long non-coding RNA, 154 nt
Organism: Dermochelys coriacea (leatherback sea turtle)
Lineage: Eukaryota; Metazoa; Chordata; Testudines; Dermochelyidae
Exons: 3
Source: RefSeq, a predicted model, not a curated record
AAAGCUGUAUUAAGUCAAUGUUCAGUUGUAAAUGUUUGAAAGAACAACCAUAACGUUUUGUUCAGAGUUACAAAUAUUUCAGAGUUACCAACAACUCAAUUCCUGAGGUGUUUGUAACAUUGAGGUUCGACUGUAUCUACAUUAAAUACCACAC